AUGUUCACUCUGCCUCAGAAGGAAUCUAGGGCACCUGCCACCUGUCCGGGCCCAGCCUCCACACAGGACCUGGACAGUAACUACGAGGAUGGUCUGGAAAGAGAAUGCUCCAGAAAACCGGACCGGAAGGUGCCAGAGUUCUGUGGAGUGGGUGAUCCCACUGCCAUGUUAUCCUCAGACAGCUCUUACCUGUCCUCUAGGGGAGACAUCAUUAAGUGGUUCUGGGACUCGGCAGAAGAGGGCUACAGGACCUACCACAUGGACGAGUAUGAUGAGGAUAAGAACCCCAGUGGCAUCAUUAACUUGGGCACCAGUGAGAACAAACUCUGCUUUGACCUGCUGUCCAGGCGGCUGAGCCAGAGCGACAUGCUGCGGGUGGAGCCGUCCCUGCUGCAGUACCCUGACUGGAGGGGACAUUGGUUCCUCCGGGAGGAAGUGGCCAGAUUCCUGUCUUUCUACUGCAAGAGGCCUACACCCCUUAAGCCAGAGAAUGUGGUUGUUCUGAAUGGCUGUGCCUCUCUCUUCUCGGCUCUGGCCACAGUGCUGUGUGAGGUCGGGGAGGCUUUCCUGAUCCCCACACCUUACUAUGGAGCCAUCACACAGCACGUCUAUCUCUAUGGCCACGUCCGUCUGGUCUGUGUCUAUCUGGACAGUGAGGUCACUGGGCUGGACACACGCCCCUUCCAGCUCACCGUGGAGAGGCUUGAGAUGGCCCUGCAGAGAGCUAAUUCUGAGGGUGUGAAGGUUAAAGGUCUCAUCCUCAUCAACCCCCACAACCCUCUGGGCGACAUCUACUCCCCAGGAGAGCUGCGGGACUACCUGGAAUUUGCCAAGAGGCACGAGCUGCACGUGAUGGUGGAUGAGGUCUACAUGCUGUCCGUGUUUGAGAAGUCGGCGGCCUACUGCAGCGUCCUGAGCCUGGAAGGGUUGCCUGACCCCCAGAGGACCCACGUGAUGUGGGCGACCAGCAAGGACUUCGGGAUGUCUGGGCUCCGCUUUGGCACGCUGUACACGGAGAACCGGGACGUGGCCACUGCGGUGGCUUCCCUCUGCCGCUAUCACGGCCUCAGUGGCUUGGUCCAGUACCAGAUGGCGCAGCUGCUCCGGGACCGUGACUGGAUCAACCAGGUGUACUUACCGGAGAACCAUGCCCGGCUCAAGGCUGCCCACACCUAUGUGGCAGGAGAGCUCCGGGCCCUGGGCAUCCCCUUCCUGAGCCGCGGGGCGGGCUUCUUCAUCUGGGUUGACCUGAGGAAGUUCCUGCCUGAGGCCACCUUUAAGGAGGAAAUGCUGCUUUGGCGCCGCUUUUUGGACAACAAGGUGCUGCUGUCCUGUGGCAAGACCUUCGAGUGUAAAGAGCCCGGCUGGUUCCGCUUGGUCUUCUCGGACAAGGCCCACCGGCUUUGCCUGGGGAUGCAGAGGGUCCGGCAGGUGCUUGGGGGCAAAUCCCAGGUGGCCGAAGAGCCCCGUUCCUGUCAGACCCAGGAGCCAAGGAGCCAGCGCAGAUGAGCUGGUCGUCGCUGGGGGACAGCAGGGCCUGGCAGCCACCGCCAACCCGAGCCAUUUGGGGCUGUGAAGACUGACGGCGGAUGGGCCAUUUGUCAGGCGGGUACCCGACGUGACCUCACCCCCGAAGAAGAACCAUUCCUGGCCCCUCUUGGGCAGUGAGAGACUCCUUUGGCUGUGCUCUGCUUCAGCCCCUCCCCCUCUACUAAACAAAACUGGGAGAAACUAAAAGCCUCUGUGGAUUGCUUCCCAGAAUAGCUACCUGCAUCAAGACUCAGUCUCUCAGGGAACCAUGCAAAGCAGAGUAUACAUGAAAGGUCAACAGCAUCCACCGUGUGUCUCCUGAGCUCAAGCUACUUUCCCCAACAACUCAGAUGCAGGUCCCGGUUUGGGCACCAGAGUGAUCGAAUGCUUACCUAGUGAUUUCUGUGAGUCUUUUCAGGAACCAUCUAUUGUUGGCAAUUACAAGGGGAAAUGUUUUUCAUAGGGAAAUGUUUCCCUUUUCCGAUCAAUGAAAAUUCCUAAGCUAUUCUAUUACUGAAGUCUCACUUACAAAUGACUAAAAAUGGUAAACAGAGCUCACGGGUUAAACAAAAGGGGGGUGGGUUUAUUGAAUUAAGCAGGAAGGGGAAGGGCAGAUGUUUCAGGCAGGGCUCUAGCCCGGAGUUCAAAUGAUGCCAUCGGAUUUUGUGCUCUCUCUUUCUGCCUUCCUCUCUUCAUUCUCAAACAUGCUCCAUUCAGGGGGUGGCAGGAUGGCUUCCAGACCGCUCUGAGCUCCAGAGUCCUUGUAGCAGACACCUACAGGGUAUGGGAAUGAUAGAGAGACACCCUUUCUUCCUCAGCAUUCAUGUCUCUCCUGUUCCAGGAGGCCAAUUGGCUUUACCUCAGUCAUCCGCCCAUUCAGGAGAAUGUGGUGCUUGGAACCGGGGUUUUCUUCAUCUGUCCACUCUGCCGUCCUAGUGUGUUGGACUUUUCCCCUUCGAGCUUCCUUCCUCAUGGUCUCAGUACAGCUCCAGAAGCUCCACACAUCACCUCCUCACCAAACACUUCCAGAGACAGGAAAGAGAAUAUGGUUUCCUGGGCCUCCUUUUCAUUUUAUUGCAGUCAUUUAUUCCCUCAUUUAUUAAAAAAAAUAUUUGUUGGGCCUCACAUUUCUAGGGGUUCUUUAUAUAUUUUCCAAGUGAGCACUUUGCCAGAUACUCUGAAAUUAUUCACAUUCAUACUUUGAGCAUUUUCUUUAUCCUCCUGAACAUGGAAAUGACCUGAGAGCAUUUAACUCUUACUCCUUUAUAUUCAUCUCCUGUGACAUUGUCAGCGAGCAUUUUAGUUCAUGCCUAGGCUGUUUGUCAGUUUGUUUGUCCCUUCUUCCUCCAGAAACUGCUUUGAAGAGUCAUAACUACCCCAGUUUGGGUGAAGACUGGGCAAAAUAGAACCUCCACUUUUCACGCUAACAUUUUUAAUAACAGUGCUAAUGCUACACAGCUAUCAACAGGAUGUUUCAUGUUUAACGCCGUGUUUCCUUGGACUCCGUCACCCUAGUAACAAGAGCCAGGCCGUCCUUCAGAAUGCUGGGGAGGUAAUGGUAGUCCCUCCAGCCACGGACCACUUCAGCAAGUACGCGUGUGAGCAGACCCAUCUGAAGAUACCCCAGCUCCCAGCCCCUCCAAAGCUUAACUUUCACAUCCGGGAGUCCUGGGAUUCAGGCAUCACGAUGGUGAGGUUAGCCCUGUUGUUGGCUCCCUCCAAGGCCCACGAGUACUCCAGGGAGGGCUGGGAAUUCCAGAAGGAGCCAACCAAGUAGCCUCUCAGAGGAAGCCACCGGCCCCCGUCAGGAACAGGGACAGGGACACCAUAGACUGGGACCCCGUUCCAAGGGCAGCUCCCAGCCUUGCCGACUCAAUAAAGGACUUUGGAAGUGUUAAAACAAAAAAACCUAUGUAGGCUACAUCCCGAGGAGAGUUACAGAUAAAUUUGGUCUAGUACUGGUCUCAGACAUCUCUUGAACUUCUGCUGAAACACUGCUUUCUAUUAAUUUUUAAAAAUGGAGGUAAAGUUGACAUACAGUGAACUGCACAGGUCUUCAUCGUAAGAGGCAAUGACUUUGGCCAAUGUCCCCAUCAAGGUGUACAACAAUUCCAUGGUUCUGAGUCUGCCUGUAGGUAACUGCUAUUCUGGUUUCUCUCUCCAUGAAGCAAUUUCUCAAUCAAAGGAACCGCAUAGUUGUUCCCUUUUGUGUCUGGGCUAUUUUGUUCAACUUAAUGUUUGGAGAGUCAUUGACAUUGUUGCAUGUAUCUAGUACAUUCUUCCUCUCUUUUUGGCCCUAUCAUAGUAAUAUCCCCUUUUUCAUUCUUGGUAUUAGUAGCUUUUGCUCUGUCUGCUUUCAUUUUUGUCAUGAAUAGUCAGCUUUAUGAUGAUUUUAUUGAUUUUGCUGGUUUUAUUGGUUUUUUUCAAUGAACUGUUACUUUUGUUAAUGCUUUCUAUUGUAUAUUUGCUUUCUAAUUUAAUGUUUUGUUUUGUUUUGUUUUUGCUUACAUGUGAACUAUGAUUUUUGUAUAAAGGGAAAAUGAUUAUUUUUUGCUCCUUUCUUCUGCCUUUAUGUUUUCCUCACUACUGGCCAUAGUCAUUGUUAUUCCCUGAUAUAAAGAAAAAAUGCAAAAUGUGUGUACCUUAUUGUGCAUAAAUUUUACCUCAUUAGAAAAAGGGAACUGGAAAAUAUUGAUCUGUAGUUAAUGACAUGCCUUCGAUAAAAUAUUCAGAUGUUAGCUACUUGAUAGCUGCAAUUUAUUUUGCAAUGCAGCAAAAAAUGAGGGGUCAACAAUGGGUGGAUCAAUAUGUGAUAAGUACCGUAAAAUAUUAAUUACAUAGUAGAGAUGGUAGAUAUGUGGGUAUUCACCGCAAAC
Mirounga angustirostris (Northern elephant seal) is the source of this 4406-nucleotide RNA transcript. It is a transcript of the gene named 1-aminocyclopropane-1-carboxylate synthase homolog (inactive), with no coding region annotated. Lineage: Eukaryota; Metazoa; Chordata; Mammalia; Carnivora; Phocidae. The record is from RefSeq and is a predicted model, not a curated record. The transcript has 15 exons.